UACAGAGGGAGCAAACGUUGUUCGGAAUUACUGGGCGUAAAGGGCGCGUAGGCGGUUCGAUAAGUCCCGUGUGAAAUCCCUCGGCUCAACUGAGGAAUGGCACGGGAAACUGACGGGCUUGAGUUCGGGAGAGGGAAGCGGAAUUCCGGGUGUAGCGGUGAAAUGCGUAGAUAUCGUUUGGAACGCCAAUGGUGAAAACAGGUUGCUGGGAGUGCGCUGACGCUGAGACACGAAAGCCAGGGGAGCAAACGGG
Molecule: ribosomal RNA, 253 nt
Filed under: uncultured bacterium
Lineage: Bacteria
Description: partial 16S ribosomal RNA
Rfam family: Bacterial small subunit ribosomal RNA
Source: RNAcentral